RNAcentral lists this long non-coding RNA (1222 nucleotides) under Heterocephalus glaber (naked mole-rat). Its description in RNAcentral is "lncRNA (ENSHGLG00100042450.1)". Lineage: Eukaryota; Metazoa; Chordata; Mammalia; Rodentia; Bathyergidae. The record is from RNAcentral.
CUUCUUCUGAUCCCCUCAGCCCCAUUUUGAGCAGUCUGUGGCUGUGGCUUCUGUAUUCCAGGAGGGAAUGGUGUUGGUCAGGUUUGUGUCACUAUGACAAAAUGUCUGAACUUAUCAGCUUCUAAGCUGGAAAAGCUCAUGGUUUCAGAGGUUUCAGUUCAUAGUCACUUGGCGUUGCCACUUUUGGGUCUGUGGUGGCACAGGCAGGAGCACGUGGUGGAGGAGGGCUGUUCGCUUCCUGGUGACCAGGAAGCACUGAGAGACAGGAAGGAGCUGGAGUCCCGGCAUCACCUGCAAGGACACACCCAACGUCCUGCCUUCCUCCCAGUAGGCCCUACCUUCCACCUUCCACAGGCUCCACUACUUCCCAGUAACGCCACUUGCUGGGUUCCAAGCCUUCCACAAUGGGCCUCUGGGGACAUUCGGGAUCCCAAACCUAGCACGGGGCUCGAGCAGCAAAGGCCCAUGAGGAUGCCACUCUUGGUCUUUCGGGGAUAUUCUAGUUACAAAGAGCACAGUGACACUGUGGAACCCUGACUAUUAUUAUUUUCUUUCUCUCUCGUUCACUCGAGCCGGGUUCCUUUGGCCUCUUGAAGCAGUGAACCAAGCAGUUGGCCCACCCUUUGACCUUUUCAGAUGGGGUGCAUUGGUGGCCCUGAUGGUGCUACCUAUAGUGUCCACGCAUGAGCAAUAAGGAGUCACCCUCCUUCCUUCCUCUUCCAGUCCCCAACAAGGAGAAACAAGCCCACCUGGGCUCAGCAACCCUUUUGCUGCCCUGCAGCACCCCACUCCCUCCCCGCAUAACGGCCUGGUCACCCCUAACUCGUUACUCCAGACCCAGGAGGUAAACGCUUCUGAGAUGCUUCCUGUUUCCUCUUCUUCCUGUUCAUUAACGUGAAGUACCCGUUUCUGAGAAGUGCCCGGCUAUUUAUUUCAGAACAGCCUGACAAGACUCCAAGCUCAUAAACGUGGAGAGCCACGGCCAUCGACCUAGAGCUCAUAGAAGUAGAUUUCUUCACACAAUGGGAUGCAACAUGGAAGUCCUGUCAGCUCCCAACACGUAUGCAAACCUGAGCUAAUUGCUCCCAGAAGCACGUUGACGCUGGAUUCAAAGCUGAUUUUUACCUCCCAGAGUGUUUGGGUGACCUGGCUGGGGGAAAGAGGGUUGUGGAUAAACUUUUUGCUCUUGGAGACCCAUCUUUAAAACCACACUGGCCUUCUA